CAUUAAGAAGCUAUGCCACAGCACUAGCCUUUUAAGCUAGAGAAAGAGGACACACUCCACCUCCUUAAUGA
This 71-nucleotide transfer RNA is filed under the name Heliornis fulica (sungrebe). RNAcentral's name for it is "tRNA-Lys". Lineage: Eukaryota; Metazoa; Chordata; Aves; Gruiformes; Heliornithidae. The record is from RNAcentral.